UUCUUUGGAGAGUUUGAUCCUGGCUCAGGACGAACGCUGGCGGCGUGCCUAAUACAUGCAAGUCGAGCGGACCAAAUCGGAGCUUGCUCUGAUUUGGUCAGCGGCGGACGGGUGAGUAACACGUGGGCAACCUGCCCGCAAGACCGGGAUAACUCCGGGAAACCGGAGCUAAUACCGGAUAACACCGAAGACCGCAUGGUCUUUGGUUGAAAGGCGGCC
Molecule: ribosomal RNA, 219 nt
Filed under: Geobacillus thermoleovorans
Lineage: Bacteria; Bacillati; Bacillota; Bacilli; Caryophanales; Anoxybacillaceae
Description: partial 16S ribosomal RNA
Rfam family: Bacterial small subunit ribosomal RNA
Source: RNAcentral